AACGAACGCUGGCGGCAUGCCUAACACAUGCAAGUCGAACGAGACCUUCGGGUCUAGUGGCGCACGGGUGCGUAACGCGUGGGAACCUGCCCUUAGGUUCGGAAUAACUCCCCGAAAUUGGUGCUAAUACCGGAUAAUGUCUUCGGACCAAAGAUUUAUCGCCUUUGGAUGGGCCCGCGUUGGAUUAGCUAGUUGGUAGGGUAAAAGCCUACCAAGGCGACGAUCCAUAGCUGGUCUGAGAGGAUGAUCAGCCACACUGGGACUGAGACACGGCCCAGACUCCUACGGGAGGCAGCAGUGGGGAAUAUUGGACAAUGGGCGAAAGCCUGAUCCAGCAAUGCCGCGUGAGUGAUGAAGGCCUUAGGGUUGUAAAGCUCUUUUACCCGGGAUGAUAAUGACAGUACCGGGAGAAUAAGCUCCGGCUAACUCCGUG
RNAcentral lists this ribosomal RNA (433 nucleotides) under uncultured bacterium. RNAcentral describes it as "partial 16S ribosomal RNA". It matches the Rfam family "Bacterial small subunit ribosomal RNA", at positions 29 to 507 of the family's 1533-position model. The record is from RNAcentral.